RNAcentral lists this ribosomal RNA (300 nucleotides) under uncultured Intrasporangiaceae bacterium. RNAcentral's name for it is "bacterial SSU rRNA". It matches the Rfam family "Bacterial small subunit ribosomal RNA", at positions 114 to 415 of the family's 1533-position model. Lineage: Bacteria; Bacillati; Actinomycetota; Actinomycetes; Micrococcales; Intrasporangiaceae. The record is from RNAcentral.
CACGUGAGUAACCUGCCCCAGACUCUGGGAUAACCCCGGGAAACCGGAGCUAAUACCGGAUAUGACACCAGGUCGCAUGGCCAUGGUGUGGAAAGUUUUUCGGUCUGGGAUGGACUCGCGGCCUAUCAGCUUGUUGGUGAGGUAGUGGCUCACCAAGGCGACGACGGGUAGCCGGCCUGAGAGGGCGACCGGCCACACUGGGACUGAGACACGGCCCAGACUCCUACGGGAGGCAGCAGUGGGGAAUAUUGCACAAUGGGCGAAAGCCUGAUGCAGCGACGCCGCGUGAGGGAUGACGGC